AUUGAACGCUGGCGGCAGGCCUAACACAUGCAAGUCGAACGGUAACAGGAAGCAGCUUGCUGCUUCGCUGACGAGUGGCGGACGUGUGAGUAAUGUCUGUGAAGCUGCCUGAUGGAGGGGGAUAACUACUGGAAACGGUAGCUAAUACCGCAUAAUUUCGCAAGACCAAAGAGCGGGACCUUCGGGCCUCUUGCCAUCUGAUGUGCCCAGAUGGGAUUAGCUUGUUGGUGGGGUAACGGCUCACCAAGGCGACGAUCCCUAGCUGGUCUGAGAGGAUGACCAGCCACACUGGGACUGAGACACGGUCCAGACUCCUACGGGAGGCAGCAGUGGGGAAUAUUGCACAAUGGGCGCAAGCCUGAUGCAGCCAUGCCGCGUGUAUGAAGAAGGCCUUCGGGUUGUAAAGUACUUUCAGCGGGGAGGAAGGGAGUAAAGUUAAUACCUUGGCUCAUUGACGUUACCCGCAGAAGAAGCACCGGCUAACUCCGUG
Molecule: ribosomal RNA, 490 nt
Filed under: uncultured bacterium
Lineage: Bacteria
Description: partial 16S ribosomal RNA
Rfam family: Bacterial small subunit ribosomal RNA
Source: RNAcentral